CUAAGAAGUAGAACAGGGAGAAUAGGCCUGUUUGUAGAAAGAGUGGUCAGGGAAGACUACCUAGAGCAUGAAGGAUGAGAGGGUGACAGCCAUGAAAAAAGCAGAAAAAGCAUUUUCUGGACAAAGGGCACAGCAUCUGCAAAGAUCCAGAGGUAUCCUUCCUACUGAUGACUCACUGAAGCCAUGAGACCCUGAUGGUAGAGUGGAGAGAAGUCCACUUUUCUGAGAUCCUAUGCAUUAGCCAGGACAGAUGGGACCAGGUCAAGUGUUCUCCAGGCAUUUUACCAGUAACAGAGAAUGACUGGUGAGUUCAUAGUACUCUAAAUCCUAUAACACUCUUUAAAAGCAUAGUCAACCCUGUGCUGAUUGGAGGCCAGCAGAUUGAAGGGCCAUGGA
This is a long non-coding RNA of Heterocephalus glaber (naked mole-rat), 396 nucleotides long. NCBI's taxonomy places the organism in Eukaryota, Metazoa, Chordata, Mammalia, Rodentia, Bathyergidae. The record is from Ensembl.